Molecule: long non-coding RNA, 1633 nt
Organism: Equus asinus (donkey)
Lineage: Eukaryota; Metazoa; Chordata; Mammalia; Perissodactyla; Equidae
Source: Ensembl
CACCUGCAGCCAUUUCUUUCUGAUGCAGGACUCCAUGUUGGUUUGCCUAAUUAAUCAACAAUCAACAGAUCCUUCUAGAAAAGAAAGAGAAAAGAGACUGAACUUCCUUCGGUGAGACAGUCAUGAAAUAGUCUUCACUCCAUUUUCCCAGCCAAGAGAUGGAAAGAAGAUGUAAAAAGGUUGGCCACCUUUCCUCAUCCCUCAGCUCUGACUUGAUUUGUCUGCAGGACUCAGACACGGUAGGGGAGCCUACGGUAGUAAAUUCCCCCACGGAAUCCUGCCGUAUAUGGGGACUUUCUUUUCUUGCCCAUAAAAGGUAUGGAAAGCUCCCGUCAGUUUUAGCGGUUAUUGUACUGUCUCAGCGCCAGCCCCUCACUCAUGCACUGUGACAGAAAACAGUAAGAGAGGCACCAGGAAGAGAAAAUGUGUCAAAUUCCCCCAGCCUCCUAGAGAAGGAAGACUGUCACUAUUGAUAAUAGCAUGUUUUACAAUGUGAUUCAUUUGGGAAAAGUUUAAAAUGAAAAAACUCUGUGUCAGGACUAGGAAUACAAUGAUGCACACACUCCCAGCCUUCGUGGAGCUCACAGUUGGCUGAUGGAGAACAACAUUAAACAAGCAAUAACAGUAAAGUAAGGUCAGGAAAGAGCAGGAAAACACCCCCGAUGGUCCUGGCUCUCCUGCGGCAGUGAAGCGGGUAGGUGACAGGGGUGCCUUGAGGACUUUGUCAAUCCUCGUUUCUGCCAAAGCCCAGAUACCUCCAAGCCGCUGCUGGAGACAGAAUAGCAACACAUCUUGCUUCCGACUGCCUUCCAGCUCCAAAUCUUAAGCAAGUAUAUCUCAUUGGCUGAACGGUAAUGGUGUUCAGAACCCUAGAGAUAAAGGAGUGUGGGGUGAGUGGUUCCCAGGCUUCCAGCCCAUGUAGUCAAAGGUAUGGCUAGCAGAAAUAAAAGCCGGUUGCAAAGAGAAACCAAGAAAAACAAAGUCCAGCAUGGUUUUGCCUAAAUUUGCUAGCCUAUCCUUUUGUAUGUAAGGCACUCAAAACUUUCCAAAUGAGCUAAACUCUCCAAGUUCUUCACUCAUCAUUUGCCCCCAUGGACACUGUAUUCUAGAAUAUGUGCGAAAUGACAUGCAAUUUUCCAAACGUAUUUCCAUGCCUUUGCACUUGUCCUACCACUCAAAAGUUACCUUUCCUCUGCCUGUGAAGACUGGUCCCGUCCCUCCACUCCCCUACCCCCUUGUCCCAUACCUGCAUCAGGCAGGAUUGACCCGGAUCUCCUCAGUAUUUCCCCUGCGCUUGGUUCACAGUUCUGUUACGGCCACUUGUCCCAGUGAAUUUCAACUUUUAGUCAGAGGAUCCAUCCCUUCCAGUAGACAUAGCAUCCUAAGAGAAAAGAGAAGAUACUGCAUCCAAGAAAAAAGAACAGACUCAAACAGAAAAGGAAUAUUCAAAAGCCAAAAUGGAAUUCUUAGAAAUUAAAAACAGCAGAAAUGAGAAACUCAACAGUAAAUCUCUCAGAAAGUCAAGCAAAAAGACAAAGAGAUAGAAAAAUUGGAGGGAAAAUAGCAAGCCAAAUUAGAAGACUAGUCCAAGAAUUCGAAUAUCUAAGUAAUAGGAGUUCCAGAGAGAGAGAGA